CGCUGGCGGCGGGCUUAACACAUGCAAGUCGAAGGAGAAGGAAGGAGCUUGCUCUUUCUGGAGACUGGCGGACGGGUGAGUAACGCGUAGCUAACCUGCCUUUAACUGGGGGAUAACAUUCCGAAAGGGGUGCUAAUACCGCAUAAAGCAACUGAGUCGCAUGACUCUGGUUGUUAAAGGUUUCGACCGGUUAAAGAGGGGGCUGCGUGCUAUUAGUUAGUUGGUGAGGUAACGGCUCACCAAGGCGAUGAUAGCUAGGGGGUCUGAGGGGAUGAUCCCCCACACUGGGACUGAGACACGGCCCAGACUCCUACGGGAGGCAGCAGUGAGGAAUCUUGCGCAAUGGGCGAAAGCCUGACGCAGCCACGCCGCGUGCCGGAUGAAGGCCCUAUGGGUUGUAAACGGCUUUUAAGCAGGAAGAACGACCGGAUUUCGAUCUGGUGUGACGGUACUGCUUGAAUAAGCACCGGCUAACUCCGUGCCAGCAGCCGCGGUAAUACGGAGGGUGCAAGCGUUGUCCGGAAUCAUUGGGUGUAAAGGGUGCGUAGGCGGGCGUCUAAGUCUGGGGUGAAAUCUUGCCGCUUAACGGUAAAAUGGCCUUGGAUACUGGGCGUCUUGAGUGUAGAAGAGGUAAGUGGAAUUCGUAGUGUAGCGGUGAAAUGCAUAGAUAUUACGAAGAACAUCAGUGGCGAAGGCGGCUUACUGGUCUACAACUGACGCUGAGGCACGAAAGC
Molecule: ribosomal RNA, 734 nt
Filed under: uncultured Balneola sp.
Lineage: Bacteria; Pseudomonadati; Balneolota; Balneolia; Balneolales; Balneolaceae
Description: bacterial SSU rRNA
Rfam family: Bacterial small subunit ribosomal RNA
Source: RNAcentral